RNAcentral lists this ribosomal RNA (256 nucleotides) under uncultured bacterium. RNAcentral describes it as "partial 16S ribosomal RNA". It matches the Rfam family "Bacterial small subunit ribosomal RNA", at positions 524 to 776 of the family's 1533-position model. The record is from RNAcentral.
UACGAAGGGGGCUAGCGUUGCUCGGGAAUCACUGGGCGUAAAGGGUGCGUAGGCGGGUCUUUUAAGUCAGGGGUGAAAUCCUGGAGCUCAACUCCAGAACUGCCUUUGAUACUGAAGAUCUUGAGUUCGGGAGAGGUGAGUGGAACUGCGAGUGUAGAGGUGAAAUUCGUAGAUAUUCGGAAGAACACCAGUGGCGAAGGCGACUUACUGGACACAUAUUGACGCUGAGGUGCGAAAAGCGUGGGGAGCAAACAGG